This 253-nucleotide ribosomal RNA is filed under the name uncultured bacterium. RNAcentral describes it as "partial 16S ribosomal RNA". It matches the Rfam family "Bacterial small subunit ribosomal RNA", at positions 524 to 776 of the family's 1533-position model. The record is from RNAcentral.
UACGUAGGGUGCAAGCGUUGUCCGGAAUUAUUGGGCGUAAAGAGCUCGUAGGCGGUCUGUCGCGUCGGCUGUGAAAACUUGGGGCUCAACCCCAAGCCUGCAGUCGAUACGGGCAGACUAGAGUCCGGCAGGGGAGACUGGAAUUCCUGGUGUAGCGGUGAAAUGCGCAGAUAUCGUAAGGAAGACCAGUGGCGAAGGCGGGUCUCUGGACAGUUCCUGACGCUGAGGCACGAAGGUCAGGGGAGCAAACGGG